UACGAAGAGGGCUAGCGUUGUUCGGAAUUACUGGGCGUAAAGCGCACGUAGGCGGCAUUCCAAGUUGGAGGUGAAAUCCCCGGGCUUAACCUGGGAGCUGCCUCCAAAACUGGGAAGCUCGAGUCCGAGAGAGGUGAGUGGAAUUUCCAGUGUAGAGGUGAAAUUCGUAGAUAUUGGAAAGAACACCAGUGGCGAAGGCGGCUCACUGGCUCGUUUCUGACGCUCAGGCGCGAUAGCGUGGGGAUCAAACAGG
RNAcentral lists this ribosomal RNA (253 nucleotides) under uncultured bacterium. RNAcentral describes it as "partial 16S ribosomal RNA". It matches the Rfam family "Bacterial small subunit ribosomal RNA", at positions 524 to 776 of the family's 1533-position model. The record is from RNAcentral.